AUUUUAUUCUUACAUUUUAACUUCUGCACUAUUUUUUACAUAUUUAAUGAGCUUUUCUGGUGGAGGCCGAGAUCUAAGGGUUCCUUUGCCAGCAGUCGAUGGAAAAACCCACUUGAAACAAAACCAUCCAUCUAAAUGUGAGUCUCUAAUUCGUCCUCCGAGGACACCGAAGAGACCUCACUGACCUUCUGACAUAAAACAGGAAGGUUAAAGUGGUGAAAUCCACCCACAGCCGCUCGGUGCCCGCGAGCUGCAGGGCGAGAAGCUCCAAUAACACAUCGCACCGUGAUGUAUGACGCCAUUACGCUGCAGACAGAAGGACUUCCACCUCAUUAAUGGAGCGGUUUCAUUCGGAUCGCAUGACGUUCUGGUUAUUGUUCUGUUGGAGGGGAGGGAGCCACGAGUUUCAUUUCCACUGAGAGGAGGAGAGAGAGGAACUGAUCCGAAAAGCCGUGAAAGAUGGUGGGACUGGUCAUCAUCAGUGCUGGAACGUCACAAGGUUUUGGAUACUUCGCCCUUCGCCGUAAGGCAAAACAUAAUAUCCCAUCUCACAUUUUAUUAAAGGCUGAGCUACCCAGCAGCAUAUAAAGCAGUUUAAAUAAUCCACACCUUCUCCAAGUGCAGCCUCAAAGGGAUGGACAUAAAUAUGACUCGGAAACGGCCCGUUCUGGAGAAUGAACACUUCUAGAACAUUCAUUUUAUGCUAAUACCAUCUAAUAUGAUGUUGAAUGAAGGACGUUCCCUGUGAGUUUUCUAAUGCUGUGGAAAGUGUGUGUGCGCGUGCCUGUGUGUGUGUGUGUGUGUGUGUGCAUGCAAGCUCCUGCUGCCUCUGAACCCACAAACAGAUGGAGACGGGACGUUUUUGCCCUGAACUCAGCCUCUCAGGACAUUCUCCCUGCAGGACCUGGAACACCUCCAGAACCUGCAGAAAUGCUUUGGACAGUUGAGGUUAUUGAUCAGGAGGCCGGUCACAGCCCGUCCUCUGGCUGAAGGUAGCUUCAGAACUCCGGAGAAACUCUUAGCGGUUCCAGGUCGGUGUUUUUUCAGCCUCUUAGUUUCAUGAUUGUGGUUCGUUCGGAGUUACAAAGAGUCCUCACAUGAGUCUGACAAGCACCUCCAACCAACUGUCCUUGGGUUCCCCCUUUCUCCCCCUCACACACACACGGAAGUCGAUGAAUACGUCUGAUGUCACGAGUGUCCUCCGGACGGUUUGUCUCCGAAGCUUUAGGUGGCGUUUGUUGGACGUGAGACUGGGUGGGACGUAUUGACAAAAGAUACACAGGUGUGUUGUGACAACAGUGCGUCCAGGGGGGCGAAAUGUGACAUUAACUGAAUAAACAGAUCCUUCGCUGAGGUCAAAGACACUGUAAACAUACCUGCAAGGGAAAGAACACUUGAGUGAAAGUCAGUAGACUAGGAAGAAUGCAGAAGAACCAGCAAUUUAUUCAACAAGCAGUCGGCUCAGCUUCGCGGGCCACACUCAAUAAUUCCUGUCAAUCAACUCAUUUGAACAUUAUCCUGUUUUUUGUGACAAAAAUAAUCCAUUUUCUUUUUUUUUUCGUUUUAAAAAGUAUUUUAAUAUAAUUGCAUUGAGCAUUUGAGCGACCUGAGACACAAAUCAAUACAGCUGACCUCAUGGUCGCUGAAAGUUCAUUUAAUUGAUAGCAAUAUUUAUUAUUAGUGAUCACCAAUCUGGUUUCUGCCACCUCAAAGCCCCCCAAGCGUUUAUUGCUGUUUAAUUAUCACGUCUCAUUGCAUUGAUAUUACAGGAAAUCCAUUUGUUUUUCUGGUCGAAUACUAUUAUUGUGCA
This is a long non-coding RNA of Gasterosteus aculeatus aculeatus (three-spined stickleback), 1810 nucleotides long. Lineage: Eukaryota; Metazoa; Chordata; Actinopteri; Perciformes; Gasterosteidae. The record is from Ensembl.